GAAGAAGAAGAAGAAGAAGACAUCAAACAUUUCAGUUUAUUCAAAAACCAAAAUAAAAAGUACCACAAAUAUAUGAAUUUGCCUUAAAGAAAAUAAACCAACAAAUAUUAAGAAUGAAACUUAAAUAUGCCAAAUAUUCAAAAUUGGUCAACAUUCUAAUAGAAGAAUAAAUCCAAUUACCUCUUCACCCUGGAUCAACUUACUGGUAGAAAGAGGGUUGGGUUUGGGUUAAUACAAAUGUUGGGGAGAGAUGAAGA
RNAcentral lists this unclassified non-coding RNA (257 nucleotides) under Hevea brasiliensis (rubber tree). Lineage: Eukaryota; Viridiplantae; Streptophyta; Magnoliopsida; Malpighiales; Euphorbiaceae. The record is from RNAcentral.